Molecule: ribosomal RNA, 468 nt
Filed under: uncultured bacterium
Lineage: Bacteria
Description: partial 16S ribosomal RNA
Rfam family: Bacterial small subunit ribosomal RNA
Source: RNAcentral
GACGAACGCUGGCGGCGUGCUUAACACAUGCAAGUCGAACGGAAAGGCCCUGCUUUUGUGGGGUGCUCGAGUGGCGAACGGGUGUGUAACACGUGUGUAACCUGCCCUUCACUUUGGUAUAACUUCAGGAAACUGGGUCUAAUACCGUAUAGGAGCUCCUGCUGCAUGGUGGGUGUUGGAAAUUUUCGGCGGUUGGGGAUGGACUCGCCGCUUAUCAGGUUUUUGGUGGGGUAGUGGCUUACCAAGGCUUUGGCGGGUCGCCGGCCGGAGAGGGUGACCGGCCACACGGGGACUGAGAGACGGCCCAGACUCCUACGGGAGGCAGCAGGGGGGAAUAUGGCACAAGGGGCGCAAGCCUGAUGCAGAGACGCCGGGGGAGGGAUGACGGCCUUGGGGUUGAAAACCGCUUUCAGUAGGGAAGAAGCGGAAGUGACGGUACCGGAAGAAGAAGCACCGGCUAACUACGUG